CUACAUUUACAGAACCAUAAACUCCAAUAUAGAAAAAUGUGUGGUCAGUUAGUGACGAACAUGGUUUCACAGUCCACUGUAAGUGUCAAGCUGGAGGCCUCAGUAGCUUAUCAUCACCCGUCAUGGUGAUGUAUCCAGCUCCGCCGCCUCCACCUCCUUCUUUGGGACCCAGAUUAACAUACAGCUUGUCCGAUCUUAUGUAGCAAGUGUUUUUAAUUAUCUCCUAAACAAAUAUUUGGAAAAAUUAUAUUACAUAAAACAGUCAAGGGGACAAAAAGGUUUGUAUGUUUGUGUCUAUCAAUUAACACAAUGAAACUAAGAAACAAAUACAGUGUACUACACUGUGGUGCCUGAUAUAGUGUUCAAUGUUUGGAAGAAGUGUUUUAUAUUUUGCAGAUGUUCUUCAUCUUUCUACUUCAAUAAUGAAAAUAAUGAGGUCCCGUGCUAGUGGAAUCAACUUCAAGUGUUAUGGACUGCUGGAGAAGAUAAGUUAAUACUGUAUUAUUAAUUUUUAAAUUGUUGUCAUAAAGCUUAAAGAAAGCAAGUGGGUGGCUGUUGUAUGGUUGAAAAGCUCAGUUGUGGUACUCUUCCACAUCUUAAUUUAUUUCCAAAAUAUUUUGCAGGUUACUACGCUCCUAACAUGUCGCCAGUCGAGUUCACGCCUGAAAACCCCUACUGCCGCUUUAAAGUUGUAUGCUAUGCCAGGAUCCCGAACUACCAUCAUGAGCAUGGCAUUGUGCAGGUCACCAUUGAAAAGGCCUUAGCAGAACUAAAGUUAGUUUUUAACACCGUAUUGGCGACAAGAUAUUUUUGUAUAAGACAACACCGGGUAGUUAACUUUUUAUUUCUCACUGUUUUUAUCUUCCAGAUCUCAUAAGUAGCAGAUUAUUUAUGACUCCGAUAUUCGGUGGCGCUGAAGUUGUCAUUAACGAAAUCUACGCUGAUAAAGUUUCAAAUAAAACAAAUAUUCGAUUUUUUUUUCUUAUUCGCCGGUAUUCUCCCCGCCCGGGUCUUUUCCAAGUAGUGGUGACCCGGCCUUGGCUCCCUAUCUGGGGAGUAUCUCGAGUCUCCCAUGGGAGGAGGUACAAGUACCCCAUCAUCUUUGGGACCAACUGUCCCCAGGCCUAGCCAUUCUUUUUUUCAACAAUCUCACUUCAAUAAUAAUUAAAUUUUAGAAAGUUUGAGUUAAAUUGAUUAUGUAUUUGUUAAGGUUUUAUGACUGCUCAUUUAUGACCUCAUAACAAGGAUUCAUAUUUUUUUUGUAUUUUAGAAAAUUUUAAUAACAGAAUAUUGUUAAUUAAUGAUGCAGUGUUUUGCAGGAGAGAAACAAUGAACAUUUGCCACUGAUGUUUUUCGUCACAUGAUGGUAGCAACUUAUACUAAUACAUUGAAGAACGUAUGUAUUCGUCAAGUCAUUCCAUUGAUGUUGACAGAAACAGAUAAAGGAAUACGUAAUACGACUGGAGGAUCUAUACACACAACUGAUGCAAUCCACACAGUACUGUAAACCAGUUUUAACAUCUUCAUUAAAAAAAAUUCUCACACAUCACGGGAUGUUUGAACGAACUGAUAGCUCAGAUGUCAGUAGUCUGGAUGUGGAUUACGAUAUGGACUUACAAGAGACAAGGAGGAAGAGGUUUAUCAACAUGCUGUGGUUAGCAUUCUUAAGGAAGACAUGUGGCUGGUUGAUACCAUGAUGGAAGAAAUUCAACGCAAGUCUUGAAAAAUAUUCUCUCCAUAAUAAAGCUUAUUUCUUUAUUUUCAUAUAGGCUAAUUUUUAUAUUUGUAGUAAGCUUGAUUAACAGACAGUAAUUAAUUGUCAACAAAAAUAUCAAUUUAACAAAAAUAUUAGUAUUGUAUCUUUAUACAUGCUUCUAAACUAUUGUAUCUGGGCGCCUCUGCAAAAACAGUGAUUAUGUAUGAGUGAGGUGAAAGUGUUGAAUGAUGAAAGUAUUUUCGUUUUGGGGAUAUUCUUUCUUUUUGGGUCACCCUGCCUCGGUGGGGGACGUCCGACUUGUUGAAAAAAAAAUGAGUGUAAAGCAGUAAUGUCCUUUUUAUCCAGAAAUCAGUUAUUAUACAGAUUUGCAGUAUUAGGAAUGUGCCAAGGUACCAGUAUAACCACAUAGCCUGAGCUUGCUACCGUCUGCAGCUCAUAAGACUGCCAUCCCCACGAGCCCCUUUGAGGCGGGGUAGAUGGCAGACCAGAGGCCUAGCUUCUCCCUACGAGCCCCGUGAGGGCGGGGAAUGUGGCUAGGCCUGGGGACACUUGGUCCCAAAGAUGAGGAGGUACUUGUACCUCCUCCCAUGGGAGACUUAAGUCUCGAGACACUCCCCAGAUAGGGAGCCAAGGCCGGGUCACCACUACUUGGAAAAGACCCGGGCCGGGAGAAUACCGGCGAAUAAAAAAAAAAAAAAAAAAAAAAACAUAUGGAUCGAUACCAU
This is a non-coding RNA of Cherax quadricarinatus, 2442 nucleotides long. The record is from RefSeq and is a predicted model, not a curated record. NCBI's taxonomy places the organism in Eukaryota, Metazoa, Arthropoda, Malacostraca, Decapoda, Parastacidae.